Molecule: ribosomal RNA, 429 nt
Filed under: uncultured Plesiomonas sp.
Lineage: Bacteria; Pseudomonadati; Pseudomonadota; Gammaproteobacteria; Enterobacterales; Enterobacteriaceae
Description: bacterial SSU rRNA
Rfam family: Bacterial small subunit ribosomal RNA
Source: RNAcentral
UGGGGAAUAUUGCACAAUGGGCGCAAGCCUGAUGCAGCCAUGCCGCGUGUGUGAAGAAGGCCUUCGGGUUGUAAAGCACUUUCAGCGGGGAGGAAGGGCCACUAGUUAAUACCUAGUGGCAUUGACGUUACUCGCAGAAGAAGCACCGGCUAACUCCGUGCCAGCAGCCGCGGUAAUACGGAGGGUGCAAGCGUUAAUCGGAAUUACUGGGCGUAAAGCGCACGCAGGCGGUUUGUUAAGUCAGAUGUGAAAUCCCCGAGCUCAACUUGGGAACUGCAUUUGAAACUGGCAAGCUAGAGUCUUGUAGAGGGGGGUAGAAUUCCAGGUGUAGCGGUGAAAUGCGUAGAGAUCUGGAGGAAUACCGGUGGCGAAGGCGGCCCCCUGGACAAAGACUGACGCUCAGGUGCGAAAGCGUGGGGAGCAAACAGG